CGGGGUGGAGUAAUGUCUGGGAAACUGCCUGAUGAGGGGGAGUAACUACUGGAAACGGUAGCUAAUACCGCAUAACGUCGCAAGACCAAAGUGGGGGACCUUCGGGCCUCAUGCCAUCAGAUGUGCCCAGAUGGGAUUAGCUAGUAGGUGGGGUAACGGCCCACCUAGGCGACGAUCCCUAGCUGGUCUGAGAGGAUGACCAGCCACACUGGAACUGAGACACGGUCCAG
RNAcentral lists this ribosomal RNA (230 nucleotides) under uncultured bacterium. RNAcentral's name for it is "partial 16S ribosomal RNA". It matches the Rfam family "Bacterial small subunit ribosomal RNA", at positions 104 to 334 of the family's 1533-position model. The record is from RNAcentral.